This 235-nucleotide long non-coding RNA is filed under the name Fukomys damarensis (Damara mole-rat). Its description in RNAcentral is "lncRNA (ENSFDAG00000024912.1)". The record is from RNAcentral. Lineage: Eukaryota; Metazoa; Chordata; Mammalia; Rodentia; Bathyergidae.
GUCCUCACUCAGAGUGAAGUUUCCCAUCAGGAUACUUCUGAAAGCAAAGGUAUGAAAAUGUUUAGAAAGCAGCAUUUGAUGACUCCAUAAAUGAAUGACUGUAUUUUGAAUAUUUAUUUCAGAGUAAUAUCACAGCAGCCUAAUGACCUUAUGAGCUAUCGUUAAGUAUUAAAUCCAUGAGGCCCAGAUAUUUUGUACAAGAUGAAAGUGCCAAAAGCAGAGCCUAUAGGACAAG